ACAUUUGAAAGAAAGAUAGCAUCUUCAAAUUGAUGAGCAAUUUCGUUGUAUAUUACUUUGGCGAGGAUGGUCUUUCCUAUUCCACCAAGUCCAUAUAUUCCUAUCACGCGAACAUCAUUUGACCAGUGCAUUCAUUUCUUCCAAACGGAAAUCCAUUCCGACGAGGUUCUCAUCAACAUGAAAGCGUUUAGGUUAUGUUUGGUUCCCGAAAAAUAUUAAAGAAAGAAAAAAAAUGCAAAGAAAAAUGAUUUUUUCAUGUUUGGUUGUCCUAUGAAAAAUAUAAAAGAAAAUCAAAUAUAAUUAAAACUAAUUAAAAACUUAUGUAUUUUAAAAUUAUUUAAUCUUUAUAUUAAUGAGUUAAAAUAAAUAAAAUGAGUUUGAAGUAAAAAAUAAAAAUAACUAAUCAACUUUUAAUCCAUUUUUUAUUUUCCUUCACUUUUUCUUUCCUUCUAUUUUUCCUUUGUAUUUUCUUUCUCUUGCAUUUUCCUUCAAAUUUUCUGAGAACCAAACAUAGCCUUAGGCUUCAGCAUAUUGGAAACGUUUUGAGUAAUGCGAUGAAUGAUCUCAGAU
Molecule: long non-coding RNA, 570 nt
Filed under: Vitis vinifera (wine grape)
Lineage: Eukaryota; Viridiplantae; Streptophyta; Magnoliopsida; Vitales; Vitaceae
Description: long non-coding RNA (VVIN_LNC007504)
Source: RNAcentral